RNAcentral lists this ribosomal RNA (253 nucleotides) under uncultured bacterium. Its description in RNAcentral is "partial 16S ribosomal RNA". It matches the Rfam family "Bacterial small subunit ribosomal RNA", at positions 524 to 776 of the family's 1533-position model. The record is from RNAcentral.
GACAGAGGGUGCAAACGUUGCUCGGAAUUACUGGGCGUAAAGGGCGCGUAGGCGGUGUGUCAAGUCAGGCGUGAAAGCCCCGGGCUCAACCUGGGAACAGCGCUUGAGACUGGCACGCUCGAGUUCGGGAGAGGAUGGUGGAAUUCCCAGUGUAGAGGUGAAAUUCGUAGAUAUUGGGAAGAACACCGAUGGCGAAGGCAGCCAUCUGGACCGACACUGACGCUGAGGCGCGAAAGCGUGGGGAGCAAACAGG